UACAGAGGGGGCAAGCGUUAUUCGGAAUUAUUGGGCGUAAAGGGCGCGUAGGCGGCCUGGCAAGUGGAAGGUGAAAUCCCUCGGCUUAACCGAGGAACUGCCUCCCAAACUGCUUGGCUUGAGACCGGGAGAGGUGAGUGGAAUUCCCAGUGUAGCGGUGAAAUGCGUAGAUAUUGGGAGGAACACCAGUGGCGAAGGCGGGUCUCUGGGCAAUAACUGACGCUGAGGAGCGAAAGCGUGGGGAGCGAACAGG
This 253-nucleotide ribosomal RNA is filed under the name uncultured bacterium. Its description in RNAcentral is "partial 16S ribosomal RNA". It matches the Rfam family "Bacterial small subunit ribosomal RNA", at positions 524 to 776 of the family's 1533-position model. The record is from RNAcentral.